Pelobates cultripes (western spadefoot toad) is the source of this 331-nucleotide non-coding RNA. The record is from the annotation of a GenBank genome assembly. Lineage: Eukaryota; Metazoa; Chordata; Amphibia; Anura; Pelobatidae.
GUGACUGUGGCGGUGGAGGGGGAGGAUGAGGUAGCCAACACUGUUUAUAUAUAUAUAUAUAUUUUAAUUGGAGUAGCCCCCAAAAUAUUGGGGCAUAUAAAAAAAGACAACUCUGUUCCGCAGAGUAGCUGUUGACUUUAUAGUUGCGCAGGAACUUUGUUGACUCUAGAGAACCUCUGGCAAAUCGCACAUCCCCAUGGCGGCGACUUUGCAUGCGGAUGUCAUCCAUAUCAACUUUCGAUGCCAGUUUCUGCGCCUUCAGGUAAUGGGAAAUCAGGAUUCCAUUCUGUACAGGGACCCUGAGAAACGGAUACCACAUACAAGGAAGGCA